GAGCAGGAGCCGCUGAGAGGAAUCUGGGUGGGCUUUGGGCAGCCGUGGUCGUGGGCAGGAUGCGUGGUUCCCGGAGGGCCUCGCGGGAUGAUCCAGGUCUCGCCAGGACUGGUCUGCGGUCACCGAGCGCACGCGGCACGGAACUCCAUUUUUGCUUCUAAAACUACCUGAAACCUACUUUACCUGACGAAGAAAGUAGUCUCCUGAGGAAAUAAGCCUGCGUCUUAGGAUCACAGGCAGAGAAGGACGUUCCUGGCCAUUUAUAACUCUGUAGAAAGAGAACGGUGGAGCAGAGCCAACCCACAGGCACACAGUGAGAGAGAGAGGCAGAGACACAGGCAGAGGGAGAAGCAGGCUCUAUGCACCGGGAGCCCGACGUGGGAUUCGAUCCCGGGUCUCCAGGAUCGCGCCCUGGGCCAAAGGCAGGCGCUAAACCGCUGCGCCACCCAGGGAUCCCGCAAUGUUUCUUUUAGUUGCUGUCUCUCCGUCUAGGUCUCCAAUAAAUACUCAGGACCAGUCCUGGCAAGAGAGUCUUUGCAGCCCAGCUGGAAACCUUCACCAGCUCCCAGGAAAUGGAAGUUCUAGAUUUGAUUUGAUUGGAGCCUCAACAAUGUCUGCAAGGAUCAAAGUGAGAUUGUUUUGGCCUGUUUUCUUCUUUCUGCUUUGACGUCUGUCCUGUUUCAAGUUGACUGCCAGAGUUCCAGGAAUUUCUCAGGCAUGGCAACAUGCUGCAGCACAGGAGACUGAUCUGCUUGGACUUAUUUUUUUUGGUGAGGCAACCUUUUCCAGGAGCAGUGUCUGCAGAAACCCUAAGACCUUAUUGGCCUGUAUCACAUUCCAUGCUCACAAUUAAAUAAAAUAGAUUGAAUCUUGAGGUUGGGAUGAGACCACACUCCCUGAGAGACAUAUAAACUGUAUCUGUGUCAGUAAACAGGGAAGAAGGACAAAUACCCAUUGUAUAGGAACAUAACAAUGACUACUAGAGCAUUUGAAUUUGUUUCCAUAUUAGUUUGUUUUUUUCCUGUUGUCAUUCCUGCUGAAACUCAUGAGUAUGUGUAUAUAUAGUAUUUGUUUGCCUGAGGGGGAAAAAAGAGACGAUUAUUAAAUUGUUAGAUUCAGCAGGCUCAUGGAAAGUAGCUUCUUGAACAUUAGGAAUGAAUUUGAGAAAAUGCAUUUUGUUUCAAGUGGUGAAGAAAAUACUGAAUUACUUAUAUUUCAUUCCUGCUAAUCCUUCUUGGUUAACCACAUCUUGUUUGUUUCUUCUCUCAGUAUCUAUGAUGUUUCCAUCUUUAAUUUAGAGAUUAUACCUUGUUCUAUUUUGUAGCCCACACAUAGAAAUAUUGUCAUCAUUAUAUGUUUAACUUGUUCCCAGAUUGAUUAGUCACGGGUAUGUAUUGCCAAGUAUAGUACAGUAUAUUAUAUAGAGAAAAAUCAUUCUGGGCAAAAAAGAUGCUUAUGCAUAUAUGUGUAUUGUAGUGGGGGAUAGUUGUUGGUGAAGACUCAAUUGCCUUCAACUGAAGAACAUUCAGAAAACGCUCAAGUUGCUGCAGGAAACAAUGAAAGGAAGGAAACGUUAGUCAAGGGUGAAAGGCACCAUAUGUCCUCCUGUACCUAGGCACGACAGGGAGUCAGCCUAAUAGCUGUCUUAAUGCACCCCGUUGUGUGUAGGUAUCGGGGACAUAUGGUAUAUUUCACCCUUAACUGUGAAUUUCCUGAAACAGCUGUAAUGUUCUUUUAAUGUAGUUUGUGUGGGUCGUUAUAUGUAAGCAGAGAUGUUUAAAGCAUCCCCCUUUCUCCUAUUCACAGUAAUCAAAGGAAAUUUAUAUUUGGCUAAUGUACACUUCUAACUAUUAAACUUUUCCCAUUUUGAAAUGUUACCUGCCCAACCCCUACCUUUUACCUGUCUCCUAUCCUCCACAAAUCUAUCCUUCUCUUUCCAUUUCUCCAUCCUGUUCCCCUUUAUUCUAUAGUUAGCAAAGGGCUACUAUUGAGGAAAAGCAGUGAAAUUUUUUCAAGCUGUUUUUAAAGUGACAGCUUGCAUAUCAAGACUGUUUAUAUGCA
Long non-coding RNA from Canis lupus familiaris (dog), 2061 nucleotides. RefSeq lists it as uncharacterized. The record is from RefSeq and is a predicted model, not a curated record. The transcript has 5 exons. Lineage: Eukaryota; Metazoa; Chordata; Mammalia; Carnivora; Canidae.